ACAAACACACCUACCUUCACACCUAGGGUUUCAUCAGCCGCCGCCGGACAAACGCACCUGCCUCCUCCCGUCGUCGCCACCGGACAAACGCACCUGCCUCCGCACCUAGGGUUUCGUCAACCACCGCCGGACAAACGCACCUACAGUCACCGUUUGGGGAUAAUACUUUUGAAUUUGUGUUUUUCAGGUGACGGUGGAUUAGACAGAUCGGAAAAGCAGGGGAGUUUGAUGUAGGGUUAUGGGGUUGUGGGAAUAAGUUAAUUAGUAGUAAAAAAUCAAUGUUUUAUUAAGAAUCUUGAAACAGAGUGUUGUGUUCUUGACUUAAUCUUGAUCUUCCUGUGUAAAGUGAUGAGUGUUUAUGUUUUUGUUGAUUGAGAAAGAAUGUGAAAAGUUUGUGGGGUUUGAUUAUUUGAAGAAGUUGAGAAGUGGGAAGUUGGAUAUGGUUGUUAGACAACAAGCAGGUGAUUGGAUUUUAAAGGUUUGUGAAUAAAAAUAUGCAUUUGAAGCAAAAACCAUUCAAAAGAUGGAGCUUCUUGUGCUGACAACGUUGAAAUGGAGGAUGAAGACAGUGACAUCGUUUUCUUUAAUUGAUGCUUUUUCAGCCACCUAUAUCUGUUGUUAGAGAGAGAAGAGAGGUGUAUUUAUAUAUUCUUUUAUUUUUAAGUUUUAUACAAAUGGCCCUUAUUAAAA
This is a long non-coding RNA of Helianthus annuus (common sunflower), 690 nucleotides long. RefSeq lists it as uncharacterized. The record is from RefSeq and is a predicted model, not a curated record. The transcript has 2 exons. NCBI's taxonomy places the organism in Eukaryota, Viridiplantae, Streptophyta, Magnoliopsida, Asterales, Asteraceae.